This 253-nucleotide ribosomal RNA is filed under the name uncultured bacterium. Its description in RNAcentral is "partial 16S ribosomal RNA". It matches the Rfam family "Bacterial small subunit ribosomal RNA", at positions 524 to 776 of the family's 1533-position model. The record is from RNAcentral.
UACAUAGGUCCCGAGCGUUGUUCGGAUUCACUGGGCGUAAAGGGUGCGUAGGUGGUGAGGUAAGUCGGAUGUGAAAUCUCCGGGCUCAACCCGGAAAUGGCAUUGGAAACUACCUUGCUGGAGGAUUUGAGGGGGGAUUGGAAUACUUGGUGUAGCAGUGAAAUGCGUAGAUAUCAAGUGGAACACCAGUGGCGAAGGCGAAUCCCUGGAAAAUACCUGACACUGAGGCACGAAAGCUAGGGGAGCAAACAGG